This is a long non-coding RNA of Salmo salar (Atlantic salmon), 1391 nucleotides long. RefSeq lists it as uncharacterized. NCBI's taxonomy places the organism in Eukaryota, Metazoa, Chordata, Actinopteri, Salmoniformes, Salmonidae. The record is from RefSeq and is a predicted model, not a curated record.
GAGAGGACCCAGGGAGCUGGCGCAAGGGCUGGAGAGUGCUGCCCAUUACUGGCUCCGAGGAGGACGGCUGUGGAUGUGGUGAGGUGUGUGGCCCUGCAGAGUUUUGUAUCCCUCCUGCCCAAAGAUGUUGGAGACUGAGUGCUGAAACAGUGCCCCCAGGAGAUGGAGGAAACUAUCUGCAUGGCUAAGGAGUACCUGAACAACACACUUGGGGAGUAGAGCAGUGAGAUGGACAACCACUCUGAUGGAGAGGGGUACUCUGUAGACCAACAGAGAGAAGAAGAAGCAGGACAUGCAGAACCUAACGUUAACUGUGAGAAGAUUGGUCACAGGACCAUGGCCAGGGUUGUUUCGGAAGAGGAUAAAUGUGUCCAAAGUCUGCCAGUACAGUAGUUUCAAUAUAAAUGCCAGACAUCUGGAUGACAUUUACAGUGAGGAUAGGAGACUUGAUGGGGAAGAUGAUUUUGCUGAACAUGAGGACUGGGUUAAAGAGGAGAUAAAAUACAAUAGCCAGUCUGAGGUGAAGGUUGAGAUCGGGUCAGCCUCUGAGAUAGGACAGUCUGUUGACAUGGCUAGAAAUACUGAGAAGGUUGAGAGGGGUCAGCUAAGAAACAUAGCAAAUCAGAUGCCUGUCUCUGGGAGGGCCAAGAGAUGUGUAUCUGCCCAUCAUCUCCCCGUAAAGCCCGAAUACCGCUGAGGGAGACCCUCUCCUACCUGAAACGUAAAAACAAAAGAUCCCUCCUAUAGACCAAGCCACUGCUGUCCUGACUGUGGUAAGAACUACAAACAGGCUGACUUUGUCAGUAAACACAGUUGCAGUGCCUUCCCUAAAUUCCACUGUCCUGACUGUGACCAAACCUUUACUUCUCAGACAUGCCUGACCCACCACCGCAGAAUCAAUUAUACGGUUGUGGGCUGCCCUGAGUGUGGAAAGAAGUUCAGGGACAAGUAUAAUCAGAAAUGUUACGAGAACCCACACAGGUGAGACCCCUUAUACUUGUACAGACUGCGGGGACGUCUGUUUUCGUGUGAAAAAGCUGCAGGAGAAACAGCAACAUCCACACAGGAGAAAGGCCAUUCCGCUGCAGUGUGUGUGGGAGGGCUUCCAUCACAGCCGCAACCUGACAAAACACAAGCUUCCUCACUCCCAGGCGAAGCCCUUCCUCUGUACCCGCUGUGGAAAGAACUAUAAACUCAAUGACAAGAUGCUGAGGCAUCUGAGGACAGUGCACGAUGAAAGCAUGUUCCCUUGGAUGUGGUACAGAGGAAGGGCAUCUUCCCCUAACCCUGCCUUGUUAAUAAUGCUUACAUCUCAGAUCCUUCCAACUGCUUUAGUCCCAAACCAGCUAACUAAAUUACUCCAUAUGUUCAACAAUAAACAUUUAACAUCA